This 178-nucleotide small RNA is filed under the name Coturnix japonica (Japanese quail). Its description in RNAcentral is "TUC338 (ENSCJPG00005011287.1)". Lineage: Eukaryota; Metazoa; Chordata; Aves; Galliformes; Phasianidae. The record is from RNAcentral.
UUGAAAGCCUGGGAUGCUGAAGUCAUCAGAUUUCCUGCAGAACAGGUACAGCGUGACAAGAGGCAUCACGUGCCUUCCCAAAAACGCCCUUUCACUCUAUAAGCUGACAGAAAGGUACCUCCGUAGGGACUGAAGGGUAGUUCAGAUUUCAUGGUCUGUUUUGACACAAUUGGCUACU